Molecule: non-coding RNA, 29 nt
Filed under: Cricetulus griseus (Chinese hamster)
Lineage: Eukaryota; Metazoa; Chordata; Mammalia; Rodentia; Cricetidae
Source: RNAcentral
AGGAACCAGGCCAUGACUAGAAGCCGCAG